AUGAACGACGACCUUGACCUCGACGCCGCCGCUGGCGUCGCCUCGUCCGGCAUGAAGAUCGCCCCCUCCGGCAAAGGCAAGCCUCGUGCCCUGCGAAAAACCGCCGCCGCGACCAAGCGAAAGAAGGCGCUGACGCCCGAACACCGGGCGGCGGAGUCGGCCAAGAGGAAGAGCCGGAGGCACGCCACGGAUGCGAGGGGUGAAGCCAUCUCGCCUGCCGCCGUUGCCGCCGCUGCGCAGCAGGAGGUCACCAACACCCGCGUCGCGGCGACAACGAGGGAGACACUCUACAUGCUAGGGUUAAACCCUAGCCAACACGGCCUUGUCAACGCCGCCGUGGCCAGCACCGGCUCGUCCACGUUCCCUUGGAUGGUGCUGCCCGACUCACCCCGCGCGUCGGCUUGCAUCCCGAUACCUGGCUUCCACGUGUACCCGCAGGUCUCGCGCCUCUCCGGGGAGUGCUCACCCGACGUGAGCGUGGUGGCGCCUUCCACGCCCGCACACGCGCCCAUCUACCUCAACGCCACACCGGUAGCCGGCGGCUCGUCAUCCGGAGGUGCAAGUAAACGCGUGCGGCAGAUGCAGGCCGACGUGGUACACGCCGCAACCUGUUUGACGAAAUGCCGGCCGCCAGCAACGAGGACUACAUGCAGAACCUCAUCUUCGAGGGCAGUGCGCCGACUACUGGCUAUGACCCCGAGGAGACACAAAGCCAGGACAGCCGCGGGGCGUUCAAGCCGUGCGCUGGCUAUGAUCAGUCGACCUUCAUGCGUGAUCAGGUCGGCAUGGACCUUGACGGCUUCUCACUUGACCACGAGUUUCCGGACGACUACGGGCAAGAGGAAGAAGACGAGUGCGACAUCAAAGUGGAGCCUUUGUUUGAGGAUAAGCUCGCCAACCAAGCCGUCGGGCCGAAGCCGAAGCGCAAGAGCAAGAGCACAAAGGCAUACACGGCGGCCGAGAACAAACUUCUUUGCGAGUGUUGAAGGGACAUUGGACAAGAUCCCAAGACCGGCGCCGAACAAAAGCAUUCAACUUUUUGGAUUCGUGUCCACCGGGAGUUUCAUGAGCGCUUGA
RNAcentral lists this ribosomal RNA (1077 nucleotides) under Triticum aestivum (bread wheat). Its description in RNAcentral is "partial small subunit ribosomal RNA". The record is from RNAcentral. Lineage: Eukaryota; Viridiplantae; Streptophyta; Magnoliopsida; Poales; Poaceae.